RNAcentral lists this ribosomal RNA (447 nucleotides) under uncultured bacterium. Its description in RNAcentral is "bacterial SSU rRNA". It matches the Rfam family "Bacterial small subunit ribosomal RNA", at positions 355 to 825 of the family's 1533-position model. The record is from RNAcentral.
UCGGGAAUUUUGGGCAAUGGGCGAAAGCCUGACCCAGCAACGCCGCGUGAAGGAUGAAGUAUUUCGGUAUGUAAACUUCGAAAGAAUAGGAAGAAUAAAUGACGGUACUAUUUAUAAGGUCCGGCUAACUACGUGCCAGCAGCCGCGGUAAUACGUAGGGACCAAGCGUUGUUCGGAUUUACUGGGCGUAAAGGGCGCGUAGGCGGCAAUUCAAGUCAUCUGUGAAAUCUCCGGGCUUAACUCGGAGCGGUCAGAUGAUACUGCUUUGCUAGAGUGCAGAAGGGGCAAUCGGAAUUCUUGGUGUAGCGGUGAAAUGCGUAGAUAUCAAGAGGAACACCUGAGGUGAAGACGGGUUGCUGGGCUGACACUGACGCUGAGGCGCGAAAGCCAGGGGAGCAAACGGGAUUAGAUACCCCGGUAGUCCCUGAGCGGGCUGGCAAGGCGCAU